GGGUUAGGGUUGGGCUUGGAGCUAGGAUUUUUCUGAGUGCAAUGAACCAACUCCCGAGUCUCUAGGACGUUCCUAAAACAAUUUGAUUUUUUCCCAUAGGAAUGCAUGGGUUAGGGUUAGGGUUAGGGUUGGAGCUAGGGUUAGGGUUAGGGUUAGGGUUGGAGUUAGGGUUAGUGUUGGAGCUAGGGUUAGGGUUGGGCUUGGAGCUAGGACUUUUCUGAGUGCAAUGAACCAACUCCCGAGUCUCUAGGACGUUCCCUAAAAAAAUUUGAUUUUUUCCCAUAGGAAUGCAUGGGUUAGGGUUAGGGUUAGGGUUGGAGCUAGGGUUAGGGUUAGGGUUAGGGUUAGAGUUAGGGUUAGUGUUGGAGCUAGGGUUAGGGUUGGGCUUGGAGCUAGGAUUUUUCUGAGUGCACUGAACCAACUCCCGAGUCUCUAGGACAUUCCUAAAAAAAUUGAUUUUUUUCCAUAGGAAUGCAUGGGUUAGGGUUAGGGUUAGGGUUGGAGCUAGGGUUAGUGUUAGGUUUAGGGUUGGAGUUAGGGUUAGUGUUGGAGCUAGGGUUAGGGUUGGGCUUGGAGCUAGGAUUUUUCUGAGUGCAAUGAACCAACUCCCGAGUCUCUAGGACGUUCCUAAAAAAAUUGAUUUUUUCCCAUAGGAAUGCAUGGGUUAGGGUUAGGGUUAGGGUUGGAGCUAGGGUUAGGGUUAGGGUUAGGGUUGGAGUUAGGGUUAGUGUUGGAGCUAGGGUUAGGGUUGGGCUUGGAGCUAGGAUUUUUCUGAGUGCAAUGAACCAACUCCCGAGUCUCUAGGACGUUCCUAAAAAAAUUUGAUUUUUUCCCAUAGGAAUGCAUGGGUUAGGGUUAGGGUUAGGGUUGGAGCUAGGGUUAGGGUUAGGGUUAGGGUUGGAGUUAGGGUUAGUGUUGGAGCUAGGGUUAGGGUUGGGCUUGGAGCUAGGAUUUUUCUGAGUGCACUGAACCAACUCCCGAGUCUCUAGGACAUUCCUAAAAAAAUUUGAUUUUUUCCCAUAGGAAUGCAUGGGUUAGGGUUAGGGUUAGGGUUGGAGCUAGGGUUAGGGUUAGGGUUGGAGUUAGGGUUAGUGUUGGAGCUAGGGUUAGGGUUGGGCUUGGAGCUAGGACUUUUCUGAGUGCAAUGAACCAACUCCCGAGUCUCUAGGACGUUCCCUAAAAAAAAUUGAUUUUUUCCCAUAGGAAUGCAUGGGUUAGGGUUAGGGUUAGGGUUGGAGCUAGGGUUAGGGUUAGGGUUAGGGUUAGAGUUAGGGUUAGUGUUGGAGCUAGGGUUAGGGUUGGGCUUGGAGCUAGGAUUUUUCUGAGUGCACUGAACCAACUCCCGAGUCUCUAGGACAUUCCUAAAAAAAAUUGAUUUUUUUCCCAUAGGAAUGCAUGGGUUAGGGUUAGGGUUAGGGUUGGAGCUAGGGUUAGUGUUAGGUUUAGGGUUGGAGUUAGGGUUAGUGUUGGAGUUAGGGUUAGGGUUGGGCUUGGAGCUAGGAUUUUUCUGAGUGCAAUGAACCAACUCCCGAGUCUCUAGGACGUUCCUAAAAAAAUUUGAUUUUUUCCCAUAGGAAUGCAUGGGUUAGGGUUAGGGUUAGGGUUGGAGCUAGGGUUAGGGUUAGGGUUAGGGUUGGAGUUAGGGUUAGUGUUGGAGCUAGGGUUAGGGUUGGGCUUGGAGCUAGGAUUUUUCUGAGUGCACUGAACCAACUCCCGAGUCUCUAGGACAUUCCUAAAAAAAUUUGAUUUUUUCCCAUAGGAAUGCAUGGGUUAGGGUUAUGGUUAGGGUUAGGGUUGGAGCUAGGGUUAGGGUUAGGGUUAGGGUUGGAGUUAGGGUUAGUGUUGGAGCUAGGGUUAGGGUUGGGCUUGGAGCUAGGAUUUUUCUGAGAGCACUGAACCAACUCCCGAGUCUCUAGGACAUUCCUAAAAAAAUUUGAUUUUUUCCCAUAGGAAUGCAUGGGUUAGGGUUAUGGUUAGGGUUAGGGUUGGAGCUAGGGUUAGGGUUAGGGUUAGGGUUGGAGUUAUGGUUAGUGUUGGAGCUAGGGUUAGGGUUGGGCUUGGAGCUAGGAUUUUUCUGAGUGCAAUGAACCAACUCCAGAGUCUCUAGGACGUUCCUAAAAAAAUUUGAUUUUUUCCCAUAGGAAUGCAUGGGUUAGGGUUAGGGUUAGGGUUGGAGCUAGGGUUAGGGUUAGGGUUAGGGUUAGGGUUGGAGUUAGGGUUAGUGUUGGAGCUAGGGUUAGGGUUGGGCUUGGAGCUAGGAUUUUUCUGAGUGCACUGAACCAACUCCCGAGUCUCUAGGACAUUCCUAAAAAAAUUUGAUUUUUUCCCAUAGGAAUGCAUGGGUUAGGGUUAGGGUUAGGGUUGGAGCUAGGGUUAGGGUUAGGGUUAGGGUUGGAGUUAGGGUUAGUGUUGGAGCUAGGGUUAGGGUUGGGCUUGGAGCUAGGAUUUUUCUGAGUGCACUGAACCAACUCCCGAGUCUCUAGGACAUUCCUAAAAAAUUUGAUUUUUUCCCAUAGGAAUGCAUGGGUUAGGGUUAUGGUUAGGGUUAGGGUUGGAGCUAGGGUUAGGGUUAGGGUUAGGGUUGGAGUUAGGGUUAGUGUUGGAGCUAGGGUUAGGGUUGGGCUUGGAGCUAGGAUUUUUCUGAGUGCAAUGAACCAACUCCCGAGUCUCUUGGACGUUCCUAAAAAAAUUUGAUUUUUUCCCAUAGGAAUGCAUGGGUUAGGGUUAGGGUUAGGGUUGGAGCUAGGGUUAGGGUUAGGGUUAGGGUUGGAGUUAGGGUUAGUGUUGGAGCUAGGGUUAGGGUUGGGCUUGGAGCUAGGAUUUUUCUGAGUGCACUGAACCAACUCCCGAGUCUCUAGGACAUUCCUAAAAAAAUUAGAUUUUUUCCCAUAGGAAUGCAUGGGUUAGGGUUAUGUUUAGGGUUAGGGUUGGAGCUAGGGUUAGGGUUAGGGUUAGGGUUGGAGUUAGGGUUAGUGUUGGAGCUAGGGUUAGGGUUGGGCUUGGAGCUAGGAUUUUUCUGAGUGCAAUGAACCAACUCCCGAGUCUCUUGGACGUUCCUAAAAAAAUUUGAUUUUUUCCCAUAGGAAUGCAUGGGUUAGGGUUAGGGUUAGGGUUGGAGCUAGGGUUAGGGUUAGGGUUAGGGUUGGAGUUAGGGUUAGUGUUGGAGCUAGGGUUAGGGUUGGGCUUGGAGCUAGGAUUUUUCUGAGUGCAAUGAACCAACUCCCGAGUCUCUAGGACGUUCCUAAAAAAAUUUGAUUUUUUCCCAUAGGAAUGCAUGGGUUAGGGUUAGGGUUAGGGUUGGAGCUAGGGUUAGGGUUAGGGUUAGGGUUGGAGUUAAGGUUAGUGUUGGAGCUAGGGUUAGGGUUGGGCUUGGAGCUAGGAUUUUUCUGAGUGCAAUGAACCAACUACCGAGUCUCUAGGACGUUCCUAAAAAAAUUUGAUUUUUUCCCAUAGGAAUGCAUGGGUUAGGGUUAUGGUUAGGGUUAGGGUUGGAGCUAGGGUUAGGGUUAGGGUUAGGGUUGGAGUUAGGGUUAGUGUUGGAGCUAGGGUUAGGGUUGGGCUUGGAGCUAGGAUUUUUCUGAGUGCAAUGAACCAACCCCCGAGUCUCUAGGACGUUCCUAAAAAAAUUUGAUUUUUUCCCAUAGGAAUGCAUGGGUUAGGGUUAUGGUUAGGGUUAGGGUUGGAGCUAGGGUUAGGGUUAGGGUUAGGGUUGGAGUUAGGGUUAGUGUUGGAGCUAGGGUUAGGGUUGGGCUUGGAGCUAGGAUUUUUCUGAGUGCAAUGAACCAACUCCCGAGUCUCUAGGACAUUCCUAAAAAAAUUUGAUUUUUUCCCAUAGGAAUGCAUGGGUUAGGGUUAGGGUUAGGGUUGGAGCUAGGGUUAGGGUUAGGGUUAGGGUUGGAGUUAGGGUUAGUGUUGGAGCUAGGGUUAGGGUUGGGCUUGGAGCUAGGAUUUUUCUGAGUGCAAUGAACCAACUCCCGAGUCUCUAGGACGUUCCUAAAAAAAUUUGAUUUUUUCCCAUAGGAAUGCAUGGGUUAGGGUUAGGGUUAGGGUUGGAGCUAGGGUUAGGGUUAGGGUUAGGGUUAGUGUUGGAGCUAGGGUUAGGGUUGGGCUUGGAGCUAGGAUUUUUCUGAGUGCACUGAACCAACUCCCGAGUCUCUAGGACAUUCCUAAAAAAAUUAGAUUUUUUCCCAUAGGAAUGCAUGGGUUAGGGUUAGGGUUAGGCUUGGAGCUAGGGUUAGGGUUAGGGUUAGGGUUGGAGUUAGGGUUAGUGUUGGAGCUAGGGUUAGGGUUGGGCUUGGAGCUAGGAUUUUUCUGAGUGCAAUGAACCAACUCCCGAGUCUCUAGGACGUUCCUAAAAAAAUUUGAUUUUUUCCCAUAGGAAUGCAUGGGUUAGGGUUAGGGUUAGGGUUGGAGCUAGGGUUAGGGUUAGGGUUAGGGUUGGAGUUAGGGUUAGUGUUGGAGCUAGGGUUAGGGUUGGGCUUGGAGCUAGGAUUUUUCUGAGUGCACUGAACCAACUCCCGAGUCUCUAGGACAUUCCUAAAAAAAUUUGAUUUUUUCCCAUAGGAAUGCAUGGGUUAGGGUUAUGGUUAGGGUUAGGGUUGGAGCUAGGGUUAGGGUUAGGGUUAGGGUUGGAGUUAGGGUUAGUGUUGGAGCUAGGGUUAGGGUUGGGCUUGGAGCUAGGAUUUUUCUGAGUGCACUGAACCAACUCCCGAGUCUCUAGGACAUUCCUAAAAAAAUUUGAUUUUUUCCCAUAGGAAUGCAUGGGUUAGGGUUAGGGUUAGGCUUGGAGCUAGGGUUAGGGUUAGGGUUAGGGUUGGAGUUAGGGUUAGUGUUGGAGCUAGGGUUAGGGUUGGGCUUGGAGCUAGGAUUUUUCUGAGUGCACUGAACCAACUCCCGAGUCUCUAGGACAUUCCUAAAAAAAAUUGAUUUUUUUCCCAUAGGAAUGCAUGGGUUAGGGUUAUGGUUAGGGUUAGGGUUGGAGCUAGGGUUAGGGUUGGAGUUAGGGUUAGUGUUGGAGCUAGGGUUAGGGUUAGGGUUAGGGUUAGGGUUAGGGUUAGGGUUAGGUUAGGGUUAGGGUUGGAGCUAGGGUUAGGGUUAGGGUUAGGGUUGGAGUUAGGGUUAGUGUUGGACCUAGGGUUAGGGUUGGGCUUGGAGCUAGGAUUUUUCUGAGUGCAAUGAACCAACUCCCGAGUCUCUAGGACGUUCCUAAACAAAUUUGAUUUUUUCCCAUAGGAAUGCAUGGGUUAGGGUUAGGGUUAGGGUUGGAGCUAGGGUUAGGGUUAGGGUUAGGGUUGGAGUUAGGGUUAGUGUUGGAGCUAGGGUUAGGGUUGGGCUUGGAGCUAGGAUUUUUCUGAGUGCAAUGAACCAACUCCCGAGUCUCUAGGACGUUCCUAAAAAAUUUGAUUUUUUCCCAUAGGAAUGCAUGGGUUAGGGUUAGGGUUAGGGUUGGAGCUAGGGUUAGGGUUAGGGUUAGGGUUGGAGUUAAGGUUAGUGUUGGAGCUAGGGUUAGGGUUGGGCUUGGAGCUAGGAUUUUUCUGAGUGCAAUGAACCAACUCCCGAGUCUCUAGGACGUUCCUAAAAAAAAUUGAUUUUUUCCCAUAGGAAUGCAUGGGUUAGGGUUAUGGUUAGGGUUAGGGUUGGAGCUAGGGUUAGGGUUAGGGUUAGGGUUGGAGUUAGGGUUAGUGUUGGAGCUAGGGUUAGGGUUGGGCUUGGAGCUAGGAUUUUUCUGAGUGCAAUGAACCAACCCCCGAGUCUCUAGGACGUUCCUAAAAAAAUUUGAUUUUUUCCCAUAGGAAUGCAUGGGUUAGGGUUAUGGUUAGGGUUAGGGUUGGAGCUAGGGUUAGGGUUAGGGUUAGGGUUGGAGUUAGGGUUAGUGUUGGAGCUAGGGUUAGGGUUGGGCUUGGAGCUAGGAUUUUUCUGAGUGCAAUGAACCAACUCCCGAGUCUCUAGGACGUUCCUAAAAAAAUUUGAUUUUUUUCCCCNNNNNNNNNNNNNNNNNNNNNNNNNNNNNNNNNNNNNNNNNNNNNNNNNNNNNNNNNNNNNNNNNNNNNNNNNNNNNNNNNNNNNNNNNNNNNNNNNNNNNNNNNNNNNNNNNNNNNNNNNNNNNNNNNNNNNNNNNNNNNNNNNNNNNNNNNNNNNNNNNNNNNNNNNNNNNNNNNNNNNNNNNNNNNNNNNNNNNNNNGUCUCUGAGGACAUUCCUAAAAAAAAUUUGAUUUUUCCCAUAGGAAUGCAUGGAGUUGGGGUUAGGGUUAGGGUUGGAGCUAGGGUUAGGGUUAGGGUUGGGGUUGGAGUUAGGGUUAGUGUUGGAGCUAGGGUUAGGGUUGGGCUUGGAGCUAGGAUUUUUCUGAGUGCAAUGAACCAACUCCCGAGUCUCUAGGACGUUCCUAAAAAAAUUUGAUUUUUUCCCAUAGGAAUGCAUGGGUUAGGGUUAGGGUUAGGGUUGGAGCUAGGGUUAGGGUUAGGGUUAGGGUUGGAGUUAGGGUUAGUGUUGGAGCUAGGGUUAGGGUUGGGCUUGGAGCUAGGAUUUUUCUGAGUGCACUGAACCAACUCCCGAGUCUCUAGGACGUUCCUAAAAAAAUUUGAUUUUUUUCCCAUAGGAAUGCAUGGGUUAGGGUUAUGGUUAGGGUUGGAGCUAGGGUUAGGGUUAGGGUUAGGGUUGGAGUUAGGGUUAGUGUUGGAGCUAGGGUUAGGGUUGGGCUUGGAGCUAGGAUUUUUCUGAGUGCACUGAACCAACUCCCGAGUCUCUAGGACGUUCCUAAAAAAAUUUGAUUUUUUCCCAUAGGAAUGCAUGGGUUAGGGUUAGGGUUAGGGUUGGAGCUAGGGUUAGGGUUAGGGUUAGGGUUGGAGUUAGGGUUAGUGUUGGAGCUAGGGUUAGGGUUGGGCUUGGAGCUAGGAUUUUUCUGAGUGCACUGAACCAACUCCCGAGUCUCUAGGACGUUCCUAAAAAAAAAUUUGAUUUUUUCCCAUAGGAAAUGCAUGGGUUAGGGUUAGGGUUAGGGUUGGAGCUAGGGUUAGGGUUAGGGUUAGGGUUGGAGUUAGGGUUAGUGUUGGAGCUAGGGUUAGGGUUGGGCUUGGAGCUAGGAUUUUUCUGAGUGCACUGAACCAACUCCCGAGUCUCUAGGACAUUCCUAAAAAAAUUUGAUUUUUUCCCAUAGGAAUGCAUGGGUUAGGGUUAUGGUUGGGGUUAGGGUUGGAGCUAGGGUUAGGGUUAGGGUUAGGGUUGGAGUUAGGGUUAGUGUUGGAGCUAGGGUUAGGGUUGGGCUUGGAGCUAGGAUUUUUCUGAGUGCACUGAACCAACUCCCGAGUCUCUAGGACAUUCCUAAAAAAAAUUGAUUUUUUCCCAUAGGAAUGCAUGGGUUAGGGUUAUGGUUAGGGUUAGGGUUGGAGCUAGGGUUAGGGUUAGGGUUAGGGUUGGAGUUAGGGUUAGUGUUGGAGCUAGGGUUAGGGUUGGGCUUGGAGCUAGGAUUUUUCUGAGUGCACUGAACCAACUCCCGAGUCUCUAGGACAUUCCUAAAAAAAUUUGAUUUUUCCCAUAGGAAUGCAUGGGUUAGGGUUAGGGUUAGGGUUGGAGCUAGGGUUAGGGUUAGGGUUAGGGUUGGAGUUAGGGUUAGUGUUGGAGCUAGGGUUAGGGUUGGGCUUGGAGCUAGGAUUUUUCUGAGUGCACUGAACCAACUCCCGAGUCUCUAGGACAUUCCUAAAAAAAUUUGAUUUUUUCCCAUAGGAAUGCAUGGGUUAGGGUUAGGGUUAGGGUUGGAGCUAGGGUUAGGGUUAGGGUUAGGGUUGGAGUUAGGGUUAGUGUUGGAGCUAGGGUUAGGGUUGGGCUUGGAGCUAGGAUUUUUCUGAGUGCACUGAACCAACUCCCGAGUCUCUAGGACAUUCCUAAAAAAAUUUGAUUUUUCCCAUAGGAAUGCAUGGGUUAGGGUUAUGGUUAGUUAGGGUUGGAGCUAGGGUUAGGGUUAGGGUUAGGGUUGGAGUUAGGGUUAGUGUUGGAGCUAGGGUUAGGGUUGGGCUUGGAGCUAGGAUUUUUCUGAGUGCAAUGAACCAACUCCCGAGUCUCUAGGACGUUCCUAAAAAAAUUUGAUUUUUUUCCCAUAGGAAUGCAUGGGUUAGGGUUAGGGUUAGGGUUAGGGUUGGAGCUAGGGUUAGGGUUAGGGUUAGGGUUGGAGUUAGGGUUAGUGUUGGAGCUAGGGUUAGGGUUGGGCUUGGAGCUAGGAUUUUUCUGAGUGCAAUGAACCAACUCCCGAGUCUCUAGGACGUUCCUAAAAAAAUUUGAUUUUUUCCCAUAGGAAUGCAUGGGUUAGGGUUAUGGUUAGGGUUAGGGUUGGAGCUAGGGUUAGGGUUAGGGUUAGGGUUGGAGUUAGGGUUAGUGUUGGAGCUAGGGUUAGGGUUGGGCUUGGAGCUAGGAUUUUCUGAGUGCAAUGAACCAACUCCCGAGUCUCUAGGACGUUCCUAAAAAAAUUUGAUUUUUUCCCAUAGGAAUGCAUGGGUUAGGGUUAGGGUUAGGGUUGGAGCUAGGGUUAGGGUUAGGGUUAGGGUUGGAGUUAGGGUUAGUGUUGGAGCUAGGGUUAGGGUUGGGCUUGGAGCUAGGAUUUUUCUGAGUGCAAUGAACCAACUCCCGAGUCUCUAGGACGUUCCUAAAAAAUUUGAUUUUUUCCCAUAGGAAUGCAUGGGUUAGGGUUAGGGUUAGGGUUAGGGUUGGAGCUAGGGUUAGGGUUAGGGUUAGGGUUGGAGUUAGGGUUAGUGUUGGAGCUAGGGUUAGGGUUGGGCUUGGAGCUAGGAUUUUCUGAGUGCACUGAACCAACUCCCGAGUCUCUAGGACAUUCCUAAAAAAAUUUGAUUUUUUCCCAUAGGAAUGCAUGGGUUAGGGUUAGGGUUAGGGUUAGGGUUGGAGCUAGGGUUAGGGUUAGGGUUAGGGUUGGAGUUAGGGUUAGUGUUGGAGCUAGGGUUAGGGUUGGGCUUGGAGCUAGGAUUUUUCUGAGUGCACUGAACCAACUCCCGAGUCUCUAGGACAUUCCUAAAAAAAUUUGAUUUUUCCCAUAGGAAUGCAUGGGUUAGGGUUAGGGUUAGGGUUGGAGCUAGGGUUAGGGUUAGGGUUGGAGUUAGGGUUAGUGUUGGAGCUAGGGUUAGGGUUGGGCUUGGAGCUAGGAUUUUUCUGAGUGCAAUGAACCAACUCCCGAGUCUCUAGGACGUUCCUAAAAAAUUUGAUUUUUUCCCAUAGGAAUGCAUGGGUUAGGGUUAGGGUUAGGGUUGGAGCUAGGGUUAGGGUUAGGGUUAGGGUUGGAGUUAGGGUUAGUGUUGGAGCUAGGGUUAGGGUUGGGCUUGGAGCUAGGAUUUUUCUGAGUGCACUGAACCAACUCCCGAGUCUCUAGGACGUUCCUAAAAAAAUUUGAUUUUUUCCCAUAGGAAUGCAUGGGUUAGGGUUAGGGUUAGGGUUAGGGUUGGAGCUAGGGUUAGGGUUAGGGUUAGGGUUGGAGUUAGGGUUAGUGUUGGAGCUAGGGUUAGGGUUGGGCUUGGAGCUAGGAUUUUUCUGAGUGCACUGAACCAACUCCCGAGUCUCUCUAGGAGGCGUUCCUAAAAAAUUUGAUUUUUUCCCAUAGGAAUGCAUGGGUUAGGGUUAGGGUUAGGGUUAGGGUUGGAGCUAGGGUUAGGGUUAGGGUUAGGGUUGGAGUUAGGGUUAGUGUUGGAGCUAGGGUUAGGGUUGGGCUUGGAGCUAGGAUUUUUCUGAGUGCAAUGAACCAACUCCCGAGUCUCUUGGACGUUCCUAAAAAAAUUUGAUUUUUUUCCCAUAGGAAUGCAUGGGUUAGGGUUAGGGUUAGGGUUGGAGCUAGGGUUAGGGUUAGGGUUAGGGUUGGAGUUAGGGUUAGUGUUGGAGCUAGGGUUAGGGUUGGGCUUGGAGCUAGGAUUUUUCUGAGUGCACUGAACCAACUCCCGAGUCUCUAGGACAUUCCUAAAAAAAUUUGAUUUUUUCCCAUAGGAAUGCAUGGGUUAGGGUUAGGGUUAGGGUUGGAGCUAGGGUUAGGGUUAGGGUUAGGGUUGGAGUUAGGGUUAGUGUUGGAGCUAGGGUUAGGGUUGGGCUUGGAGCUAGGAUUUUUCUGAGUGCACUGAACCAACUCCCGAGUCUCUAGGACAUUCCUAAAAAAAUUUGAUUUUUUCCCAUAGGAAUGCAUGGGUUAGGGUUAUGGUUAGGGUUAGGGUUGGAGCUAGGGUUAGGGUUAGGGUUAGGGUUGGAGUUAGGGUUAGUGUUGGAGCUAGGGUUAGGGUUGGGCUUGGAGCUAGGAUUUUUCUGAGUGCACUGAACCAACUCCCGAGUCUCUAGGACGUUCCUAAAAAAUUUGAUUUUUUCCCAUAGGAAUGCAUGGGUUAGGGUUAUGGUUAGGGUUAGGGUUGGAGCUAGGGUUAGGGUUAGGGUUAGGGUUGGAGUUAGGGUUAGUGUUGGAGCUAGGGUUAGGGUUGGGCUUGGAGCUAGGAUUUUUCUGAGUGCACUGAACCAACUCCCGAGUCUCUAGGACAUUCCUAAAAAAAUUUGAUUUUUUUCCCAUAGGAAUGCAUGGGUUAGGGUUAGGGUUAGGGUUGGAGCUAGGGUUAGGGUUAGGGUUAGGGUUGGAGUUAGGGUUAGUGUUGGAGCUAGGGUUAGGGUUGGGCUUGGAGCUAGGAUUUUUCUGAGUGCACUGAACCAACUCCCGAGUCUCUAGGACAUUCCUAAAAAAAAAUUUGAUUUUUUCCCAUAGGAAUGCAUGGGUUAGGGUUAUGGUUAGGGUUAGGGUUGGAGCUAGGGUUAGGGUUAGGGUUAGGGUUGGAGUUAGGGUUAGUGUUGGAGCUAGGGUUAGGGUUGGGCUUGGAGCUAGGAUUUUUCUGAGUGCACUGAACCAACUCCCGAGUCUCUAGGACAUUCCUAAAAAAAAAUUGAUUUUUUCCCAUAGGAAUGCAUGGGUUAGGGUUAUGGUUAGGGUUAGGGUUGGAGCUAGGGUUAGGGUUAGGGUUAGGGUUGGAGUUAGGGUUAGUGUUGGAGCUAGGGUUAGGGUUGGGCUUGGAGCUAGGAUUUUUCUGAGUGCAAUGAACCAACUCCCGAGUCUCUAGGACAUUCCUAAAAAAAUUUGAUUUUUUCCCAUAGGAAUGCAUGGGUUAGGGUUAGGGUUAGGGUUGGAGCUAGGGUUAGGGUUAGGGUUGGGUUGGAGUUAGGGUUAGUGUUGGAGCUAGGGUUAGGGUUGGGCUUGGAGCUAGGAUUUUUCUGAGUGCAAUGAACCAACUCCCGAGUCUCUAGGACAUUCCUAAAAAAAUUUGAUUUUUUCCCAUAGGAAUGCAUGGGUUAGGGUUAGGGUUAGGGUUGGAGCUAGGGUUAGGGUUAGGGUUAGGGUUGGAGUUAGGGUUAGUGUUGGAGCUAGGGUUAGGGUUGGGCUUGGAGCUAGGAUUUUUCUGAGUGCAAUGAACCAACUCCCGAGUCUCUAGGACAUUCCUAAAAAAAAAUUUGAUUUUUUCCCAUAGGAAUGCAUGGGUUAGGGUUAUGGUUAGGGUUAGGGUUGGAGCUAGGGUUAGGGUUAGGGUUAGGGUUGGAGUUAGGGUUAGUGUUGGAGCUAGGGUUAGGGUUGGGCUUGGAGCUAGGAUUUUUCUGAGUGCAAUGAACCAACUCCCGAGUCUCUAGGACGUUCUAAAAAAAAUUUGAUUUUUUCCCAUAGGAAUGCAUGGGUUAGGGUUAUGGUUAGGGUUAGGGUUGGAGCUAGGGUUAGGGUUAGGGUUAGGGUUGGAGUUAGGGUUAGUGUUGGAGCUAGGGUUAGGGUUGGGCUUGGAGCUAGGAUUUUUCUGAGUGCAAUGAACCAACUCCCGAGUCUCUAGGACGUUCCUAAAAAAAUUUGAUUUUUUCCCAUAGGAAUGCAUGGGUUAGGGUUAGGGUUAGGGUUGGAGCUAGGGUUAGGGUUAGGGUUAGGGUUGGAGUUAGGGUUAGUGUUGGAGCUAGGGUUAGGGUUGGGCUUGGAGCUAGGAUUUUUCUGAGUGCAAUGAACCAACUCCCGAGUCUCUAGGACGUUCCUAAAAAAAAAUUUGAUUUUUUCCCAUAGGAAUGCAUGGGUUAGGGUUAGGGUUAGGGUUGGAGCUAGGGUUAGGGUUAGGGUUAGGGUUGGAGUUAGGGUUAGUGUUGGAGCCAGGGUUAGGGUUGGGCUUGGAGCUAGGAUUUUUCUGAGUGCACUGAACCAACUCCCGAGUCUCUAGGACAUUCCUAAAAAAUUUGAUUUUUUUCCCAUAGGAAUGCAUGGGUUAGGGUUAGUGGUUAGGGUUAGGGUUGGAGCUAGGGUUAGGGUUAGGGUUAGGGUUGGAGUUAGGGUUAGUGUUGGAGCUAGGGUUAGGGUUGGGCUUGGAGCUAGGAUUUUUCUGAGUGCAAUGAACCAACCCCCGAGUCUCUAGGACGUUCCUAAAAAAAUUUGAUUUUUUCCCUAUAGGAAUGCAUGGGUUAGGGUUAGGGUUAGGGUUGGAGCUAGGGUUAGGGUUAGGGUUAGGGUUGGAGUUAGGGUUAGUGUUGGAGCUAGGGUUAGGGUUGGGCUUGGAGCUAGGAUUUUUCUGAGUGCAAUGAACCAACUCCCGAGUCUCUAGGACGUUCCUAAAAAAAUUUGAUUUUUUCCCAUAGGAAUGCAUGGGUUAGGGUUAGGGUUAGGGUUGGAGCUAGGGUUAGGGUUAGGGUUAGGGUUGGAGUUAGGGUUAGUGUUGGAGCUAGGGUUAGGGUUGGGCUUGGAGCUAGGUUUUUCUGAGGGUGCACUGAACCAACUCCCGAGUCUCUAGGACAUUCCUAAAAAAAUUUGAUUUUUUCCCAUAGGAAUGCAUGGGUUAGGGUUAUGGUUAGGGUUGGAGCUAGGGUUAGGGUUAGGGUUAGGGUUGGAGUUAGGGUUAGUGUUGGAGCUAGGGUUAGGGUUGGGCUUGGAGCUAGGAUUUUUCUGAGUGCACUGAACCAACUCCCGAGUCUCUAGGACAUUCCUAAAAAAAUUUGAUUUUUUCCCAUAGGAAUGCAUGGGUUAGGGUUAGGGUUAGGGUUGGAGCUAGGGUUAGGGUUAGGGUUAGGGUUGGAGUUAGGGUUAGUGUUGGAGCUAGGGUUAGGGUUGGGCUUGGAGCUAGGAUUUUUCUGAGUGCACUGAACCAACUCCCGAGUCUCUAGGACAUUCCUAAAAAAAUUUGAUUUUUCCCAUAGGAAUGCAUGGGUUAGGGUUAUGGUUAGGGUUAGGGUUGGAGCUAGGGUUAGGGUUAGGGUUAGGGUUGGAGUUAGGGUUAGUGUUGGAGCUAGGGUUAGGGUUGGGCUUGGAGCUAGGAUUUUUCUGAGUGCACUGAACCAACUCCCGAGUCUCUAGGACAUUCCUAAAAAAAUUUGAUUUUUUUCCCAUAGGAAUGCAUGGGUUAGGGUUAGGGUUAUGGUUAGGGUUAGGGUUAGGGUUAGGGUUAGGGUUGGAGUUAGGGUUAGUGUUGGAGCUAGGGUUAGGGUUGGGCUUGGAGCUAGGAUUUUUCUGAGUGCACUGAACCAACUCCCGGGUCUCUAGGACAUUCCUAAAAAAAUUUGAUUUUUUCCCAUAGGAAUGCAUGGGUUAGGGUUAGGGUUAGGGUUGGAGCUAGGGUUAGGGUUAGGGUUAGGGUUGGAGUUAGGGUUAGUGUUGGAGCUAGGGUUAGGGUUGGGCUUGGAGCUAGGAUUUUUCUGAGUGCAAUGAACCAACUCCCGAGUCUCUAGGACAUUCCUAAAAA
Molecule: long non-coding RNA, 13710 nt
Filed under: Xyrichtys novacula (pearly razorfish)
Lineage: Eukaryota; Metazoa; Chordata; Actinopteri; Labriformes; Labridae
Source: RNAcentral